Mycena vulgaris is the source of this 92-nucleotide non-coding RNA. NCBI's taxonomy places the organism in Eukaryota, Fungi, Basidiomycota, Agaricomycetes, Agaricales, Mycenaceae. The record is from the annotation of a GenBank genome assembly.
GACCCAGUAGCCGAUGGUUCGCGCCCGCGUCGUGUGCUGAUAUACACUGGUCGCAUCAGCGGGAGUCCCUGGUUCGACUCCAGGCUGGGUCA